GACAGAGGCCUCAAGCGUUAGGCGGAAUCACUGGGCUUAAAGCGUGUGUAGGCGGAUCGUUAAGUACCUUGUGAAAUCCCACGGCUUAACCGUGGAACUGCUUGGUAUACUGGCGGUCUUGAGCCAGCUAGGGGCUACCGGAACAAAUGGUGGAGCGGUGAAAUGCGUAGAGAUCCGGAGGAACACCGACGGCGCAGGCAGCGUCCUGGCCGCUUGCUGACACUGAGGCACGAAAGCUGGGGGAGCAAACAGG
This 253-nucleotide ribosomal RNA is filed under the name uncultured bacterium. RNAcentral's name for it is "partial 16S ribosomal RNA". It matches the Rfam family "Bacterial small subunit ribosomal RNA", at positions 524 to 776 of the family's 1533-position model. The record is from RNAcentral.